This 359-nucleotide ribosomal RNA is filed under the name Cryptosporidium sp. Czech B4. RNAcentral describes it as "bacterial SSU rRNA". It matches the Rfam family "Eukaryotic small subunit ribosomal RNA", at positions 463 to 857 of the family's 1831-position model. Lineage: Eukaryota; Apicomplexa; Conoidasida; Eucoccidiorida; Cryptosporidiidae. The record is from RNAcentral.
GGUAGUGACAAGAAAUAACAAUACAGGGCCUGACGGUCUUGUAAUUGGAAUGAGUAAAGUAUAAACCCCUUUACAAGUAUCAAUUGGAGGGCAAGUCUGGUGCCAGCAGCCGCGGUAAUUCCAGCUCCAAUAGCGUAUAUUAAAGUUGUUGCAGUUAAAAAGCUCGUAGUUGGAUUUCUGUUGUAUCAUUAUAUUAUCACCAAGGUAAUAAUAUAAUAUCAACAUCCCUCCUAUUAUAUUUAAUAUAUAGGAAAUUUUACUUUGAGAAAAUUAGAGUGCUUAAAGCAGGCAACUGCCUUGAAUACUCCAGCAUGGAAUAAUAAGCAAGGACUUUUGUCUUUCUUAUUGGUUCUAGGACA